UGAGACCCUGUUGAAAGGACCAGCAAACAUCCGAUUUCCUCAGAUAUAAUCUCAGAUUAAUGGAGUUGUGGAACAGAUUAAACUCGUCUCACUAAGAUCAGAACAGCUGAGCAUCACAUACCAAGAGUGACAGCCAGUUUAAAAAAAGAGAGAGAGAGCUGCAAAGUUUGGAUCUUUUCCUGCCUUAGAAGCAAGAAAAAUGGAAAAUUGAUAAUUAAAGGAGAAACCUUCAUACCUCCCUCGCUGCUUUGAGCACAGAUUUCAUCCUUACCUGCCUAUCAUUGCUCAACUGACACUGCAGAUUUUAUAAUUACCAGUUAUCUCUCAGUGAUUCACU
RNAcentral lists this long non-coding RNA (337 nucleotides) under Zalophus californianus (California sea lion). RNAcentral describes it as "lncRNA (ENSZCAG00015024012.1)". The record is from RNAcentral. Lineage: Eukaryota; Metazoa; Chordata; Mammalia; Carnivora; Otariidae.